UACGGGGGGGGCAAGCGUUGUUCGGAAUUACUGGGCGUAAAGGGCGCGUAGGCGGUCUGCUAAGUUGGAUGUGAAAACUCUGGGCUUAACCCAGAGCCUGCAUUCAAUACUGGCAGGCUAGAGUUCUGGAGGGGAUAGCGGAAUUCCUGGUGUAGCGGUGAAAUGCGUAGAUAUCAGGAGGAACACCGGUGGCGAAGGCGGGUCUCUGGGCCGAUACUGACGCUGAGGAGCGAAAGCGUGGGGAGCGAACAGG
This 253-nucleotide ribosomal RNA is filed under the name uncultured bacterium. RNAcentral describes it as "partial 16S ribosomal RNA". It matches the Rfam family "Bacterial small subunit ribosomal RNA", at positions 524 to 776 of the family's 1533-position model. The record is from RNAcentral.